UUGACCUCGGAUCAGGUAGGGAUACCCGCUGAACUUAAGCAUAUCAAUAAGCGGAGGAAAAGAAACCAACAGGGAUUGCUCUAGUAACGGCGAGUGAAGCAGCAAUAGCUCAAAUUUGAAAUCUGGCGUCUUCGGCGUCCGAGUUGUAAUUUGUAGAGGAUGCUUCUGGGCAGCCACCGACCUAAGUUCCUUGGAACAGGACGUCAUAGAGGGUGAGAAUCCCGUAUGCGGUCGGAAAGGCACCCUACACGUAGCUCCUUCGACGAGUCGAGUUGUUUGGGAAUGCAGCUCUAAAUGGGAGGUAAAUUUCUUCUAAAGCUAAAUAUUGGCCAGAGACCGAUAGCGCACAAGUAGAGUGAUCGAAAGAUGAAAAGCACUUUGGAAAGAGAGUUAAAAAGCACGUGAAAUUGUUGAAAGGGAAGGGAUUGCAACCAGACUUGCUCGCGGUGUUCCGCCGGUCUUCUGACCGGUCUACUCGCCGCGUUGCAGGCCAGCAUCGUCUGGUGCCGCUGGAUAAGACUUGAGGAAUGUAGCUCCCUCGGGAGUGUUAUAGCCUCUUGUGAUGCAGCGAGCGCCGGGCGAGGUCCGCGCUUCGGCUA
RNAcentral lists this ribosomal RNA (599 nucleotides) under Cladosporium sphaerospermum. Its description in RNAcentral is "eukaryotic LSU rRNA". It matches the Rfam family "Eukaryotic large subunit ribosomal RNA", at positions 1 to 520 of the family's 3401-position model. The record is from RNAcentral. Lineage: Eukaryota; Fungi; Ascomycota; Dothideomycetes; Cladosporiales; Cladosporiaceae.